AGGCAUCUCCAUCUCUGUCUGGGCCCCAUUUUUUCGGUGUUUGUGCUUUUGCUUUUGCCCUGCGUCCGUCCCACCGCUUUCUCCUUCGCCUUCCCCUUCGCCGUUUUCCCAAUUAACCCUUUCCUAUUUCAAUUCUGUUUCCUUUUUCGAUUUUCCCUUUCAUAAUUUUUUUAAUUAUUAUUAUUUUUUAUUCACAUUUUUAACUCGGGGUGAGAUCUGAUCCUGAUCUGAUCCCUCCCUCUGUCCUCUGCCAUUUCACUAUGAUUUCGUUUUCAGUGCAUUCAAAGCCCGUCUGAUUUCCCUCUCUUUUUUUAAUCCCGAGAGAUAAGCUUUUUAUUUUUGCUUUCACUUUGUCCAUUGGUAAGUGUUAACAGAGUGGGAGGUCCGUUGUUAGUGGAAGAUUAAGCGUGUUUUAGUUUUGGCAUAUCUGGAGGAUUGAUCCGUAGAUUGUUGUUGUUAUCUGGAUCUGAUCAGGGAUUUUGUCAUCAUUUGAAUCGAUUGUGUUGUCAAGGUUUUAUAUUUUUUGGUGAUAAAGUUUGGAUUUUUAUUUAUUCGCUAUUGGAAGGACAGUUUUGAUAUGUUUUCUCUUUAGAAGUUAAAGCUCUGAGCCAGUUAGUGAAUGACUGGGAGAGAUGAUGAUUUGAUUAAACAUAAAAAUUGGGUUUGCAUUGGAAAACGUAUUCCCAAUUUUUAACAAAAGGGGGCUGAGAUAUCUCUGGCUUGUUUAGUUUGGCUGGGGAAAGAAAAGAGGAGGGGUUUGAUUGUGGUGAUGAAUUAUUGUCAAACGUGGGGAAAGUUAUAUGUGGGCAUUGGAAAAUAAUUUAUGAGUGGUGGGCGGUAGCCAUCGCUGUUAUCACCGGAUCAUCCUUCUACCUCUUUGGGGUCUCCUGACAACAAAUACUGUCUCUAUUAGAGAUACUGGUUUUUGUCUGAAAUCUGUUGAAUCUCACCUUUCUUCUACUGCUAAGACAAGGGAUUUCUAUUCUGGGGACCUUCAUUUACAUAGUUGUCAUUGGCAUGCCCUGCAGAAGAGAGUGGACACCUGUUUUCUUCGGGUGUAAUGGAGUUGCAGAACAACAAUCGCAGUUCCAGUUCCUUUGAAAUCUCCAAAGGGUCUACCUUGAUGCAGGAAAAGCAUGGUAAGUCACAAAGGGUUCGCCACAAAAGCACGCAGUUUGAAGAUAAUCUUCUUCAUGAAGAGAAUACCAGGUUAAUUUACAUUAAUGAUCCUAGGAAAACCAAUGACAAGUAUGAGUUCACUGGGAAUGAGAUCACAACAAGCAAGUACACACUGAUUACCUUCUUGCCCAAGAAUAUUUUCAUUCAGUUCCAUCGGGUAGCCUAUUUAUAUUUUCUGGCAAUUGCUGCUCUCAACCAGCUUCCCCCUCUUGCCGUCUUUGGGAGGACAGUGUCUCUUUUCCCCCUCCUGUUUGUGCUUUGUGUGACAGCUAUUAAAGAUGGCUAUGAGGAUUGGCGAAGACACAGAUCAGACCAAAAAGAGAACAAUCGGGAAGCUCUGGUGCUUCAAGGUGAUCGGUUUCAGUUGAAAAAAUGGAAAAAAAUCCGGGCUGGUGAGGUCGUGAAAAUCCUUUCUGAUGAGACAAUUCCAUGUGACAUUGUCUUGUUGAGCACUAGCGAUCCUAGUGGGCUUGCUUACAUUCAGACAAUGAAUUUGGAUGGUGAGUCAAACUUGAAGACAAGGUAUGCUAGGCAAGAAACGGUUUCUGCAGGACCUGAAGAUCCUAUAUCAGGGCCGAUCAGAGAAGAUUCUGUAUCAGGGCUGAUCAGAUGUGAGCAACCCAACAGGAAUAUUUAUGAGUUCACGGCCAAUAUGGAGUUCAAUGGGCAAAAGUUCUCCUUGAGCCAAUCAAACAUCGUUUUGCGUGGUUGUCAGCUGAAGAACACUGAAUCGAUCAUCGGUGUUGUGGUAUAUGCAGGACAGGAAACAAAAGCAAUGUUGAAUAGUGCAGCAUCUCCAUCCAAGAGAAGCAGAUUGGAAGGUUACAUGAACAGGGAAACCCUGUGGUUGUCCGUUUUUCUUUUAGUUAUGUGUAUGGUGGUGGCCUGUGGGAUGGGGCUAUGGCUUCUACGCCACAAAGAGGAGCUUAACACUUUGCCUUAUUACAGGAAAGUGUAUUUCACAUAUGGGAAGGAUAAAUUUAAAAAGUACAAAUAUUAUGGGAUUCCCAUGGAGACUUUUUUCUCCUUUUUGAGCUCUGUUAUAGUGUUUCAGAUAAUGAUACCAAUUUCUCUGUACAUUACAAUGGAACUGGUUCGUUUGGGACAGUCAUAUUUCAUGAUUGAAGACAGGCACAUGUAUGACAGCAGCACUGGUUCAAGGUUUCAGUGUAGAUCUUUGAAUAUAAAUGAGGAUUUGGGUCAAAUACGAUAUGUAUUUUCAGACAAAACUGGGACACUUACAGAAAACAAAAUGGAAUUUCGAAGAGCAAGUGUGUACGGGAACAAUUACGGGAGUUCCUUGCUUGUGACCGAUUCAUUUGAAGGACAGGGAACUGCAGCAGCAAAAGCUGUUGGUAGAAGGAGAUGGAAACUUAACUCGGAAAUUGCCGUUGAUUAUGAAUUAAUGGAGUUGUUGACCAAAGACUUAGCUGGUGAUGAACGAAUUGCUGCACAUGAGUUUUUCCUUACACUGGCCGCAUGUAAUACUGUGAUCCCAAUUCCUAGUUCUGGAAGAUCUUCCAGUUUCACCGGAAGCGAAUCACUUGAUAAUGAUAAUGUAGAAACUAUUAAUUAUCAGGGUGAAUCUCCAGAUGAGCAAGCGCUAGUUUCUGCAGCCUCAGCAUAUGGAUACACUCUCUUUGAGCGCACAUCUGGCCACAUUGGGAUUGAGAUCAAUGAUAAGAGAUUAAGGUUUGAUGUGUUGGGAUUGCAUGAAUUCGAUAGCGUUCGCAAAAGAAUGUCAGUCGUUGUCAGAUUUCCUGACAAUAGUGUGAAGGUGUUGGUGAAGGGUGCUGAUAAUUCAAUGUUCGGUAUAUUAGCUAAAGAUUCUGAGAGGAAUGACCUUGUAAGGCAUGCAACUGAGAGCCAUCUGACUGAAUAUUCAUCACAGGGCUUACGCACUCUUGUCGUUGCUGCAAGGGAUCUUACUGAUGCAGAACUUGAGCAGUGGCAGCGCAUGUAUGAAGAUGCAAGCACCUCUUUAGCCGAUAGAGCUCAAAAACUUCGCCAAACGGCAUUGCUUAUUGAAUCCAAUUUAAAUUUACUUGGGGCUACUGGAAUUGAGGACAAGCUACAGGAUGGUGUACCAGAAGCAAUUGAGGCCCUUCGGCAAGCGGGAAUUAAGGUCUGGGUUCUGACUGGAGAUAAACAAGAGACAGCAAUUUCAAUUGGUCUUUCUUGCAAACUUCUGUCCACAGAUAUGCAGCAAAUAAUUAUAAAUGGUAAUUCUGAGGAGGAAUGCAAAAAUCUUUUAGCUGCUGAAAAAGCUAAAUAUGGUGUGAAAUCAUCCAAUGGAAAAAAAAAUAGUUCGAAAUCAAAAGAGAAUACUGAAAACAACCAUCUUGAGAUUCCGAAUGAUACGAAGUCUUCCAAUGUGCCAGAAGGGUGUUCUGGGAAGGAUGAAGUGAAUGCAUCAUUGGCACUCAUAAUUGAUGGAAAUAGUUUGGUGUAUAUUCUGGAGAAGGAUUUGGAGACAGAUCUUUUUGACCUUGCGACUUCCUGUCAAGUUGUGCUAUGCUGUCGGGUUGCACCAUUGCAGAAAGCUGGAAUUGUUGAUCUAAUCAAGAGCCGAACUGAUGAUAUGACACUGGCCAUAGGUGAUGGGGCCAAUGAUGUUUCUAUGAUCCAAAUGGCGGAUGUUGGUGUUGGAAUAUGUGGUCAGGAAGGGCGUCAAGCAGUGAUGGCAUCAGACUUUGCAAUGGGGCAGUUUCGGUUUCUGAAAAGAUUACUCUUGGUGCAUGGACACUGGAAUUAUCAGCGUGUGGGCUAUUUAAUUCUAUACAACUUCUACCGUAAUGCUGUUUUUGUAUUGAUGCUAUUCUGGUACAUUUUGUGCACAGCUUUUUCGACUACUUCUGCAUUAACAGAUUGGAGUAGUGUAUUUUAUUCUGUUAUAUAUACAUCUGUGCCCACUAUUUUUGUCGGUAUUCUGGACAAAGACUUAAGUCAUAGGACAUUGUUACAGUAUCCAAAACUUUAUGGUGCGGGGCAUAGACAGGAGGCAUAUAAUAUGCAUCUCUUCUGGAUCACUAUGUGUGACACACUAUGGCAGAGUCUUGUUCUCUUCUAUAUUCCUUUGUACGUUUACAAGGAGAGCACAAUUGAUAUCUGGAGCAUGGGCAGUUUGUGGACAUUAGCCGUAGUCAUCCUUGUUAGUAUACACCUGGCUAUGGAUAUACAGCGUUGGAUAUUUGUUACUCAUGCGGCGGUAUGGGGAUCUAUAGUUAUUACAUACGCCUGCAUGGUGGUACUGGAUUCUGUCCCUAUUUUACCCAACUACUGGACAAUCUACAAUCUGGCUAAGUCACCAACCUAUUGGCUCACCAUUUUGCUUAUUAUAAUUGUUGCAUUGCUCCCUCGUUUUCUUUUCAAAGCUGUACAUCAACAUUUUUGGCCUUCAGAUAUCCAGAUAGCCAGAGAAGCUGAGGUACUAAGAAAACAAGCUAAUUAUUUGAGUUCAAAACCAAAUCAGGAUUCCAGUUAGCAUGUGCUUUACCUCUCUUGUUGAACCCAUCUUGAGAUGGCUUUCCAUGAGUUCAUGCUUGAUAUGGCUCUCCGACGGCAUCUAGUUGUAAAGUUCUGUGAUGAGUUCCAAAAAAGCUGAUUUUGCACCAGUAAUCGAAAGAAAUGGUUGGCAUUGAGACAACAGAGCAGAGAGUUAUCGAUUAUUGGAUUGUCAGGGCAAGUGAGACGAUUAAAGCCAAUGAGAGUGGUUCUGGUGUAUUGAAAUAGCCAGUUGGAUGAUUGAAAUCGGGAAGGUUGGAAGAUGCGAAGCCAGGAGUGGAGCUUUUCAACUUCGGUUGAUUCUUUUGAGUGUUGAGGAUUUGGCAGUGUGUAAGGAUUUGAUCACAAUAUUAGUAGCCUGAAAUGGCUAAGAUGGACAGAAAAUAUAAUUCCCUAGUAUAUAGUAGUUUGUGUAAAGUUCAUCAGGUUGACACUGAAAAAUAUUAGGAAAAAGAAAAAAAAAAUUGUUGACAGAAAUACAGGUCAUUUCAUUCAAUUUCAUUUGUCUUGACCAAAUCUUGCAACUUCACCUAUGGAGGCCGAUAACGAUCAUG
Pistacia vera is the source of this 5237-nucleotide RNA transcript. It is a transcript of the gene named phospholipid-transporting ATPase 1-like, with no coding region annotated. NCBI's taxonomy places the organism in Eukaryota, Viridiplantae, Streptophyta, Magnoliopsida, Sapindales, Anacardiaceae. The transcript is spliced from 9 exons. The record is from RefSeq and is a predicted model, not a curated record.